GAUGGUAUAGCUCAAGAGGUAGAGCGCAUGCUUAGCGUGUGAAAGGUCCUGGGUUCAAUCCCCAGUACCUCCA
Molecule: transfer RNA, 73 nt
Filed under: Camelus dromedarius (Arabian camel)
Lineage: Eukaryota; Metazoa; Chordata; Mammalia; Artiodactyla; Camelidae
Also listed under: 1 other name
Rfam family: tRNA
About the family: Transfer RNA (tRNA) molecules are approximately 80 nucleotides in length.
Source: Rfam by way of RNAcentral